This 245-nucleotide ribosomal RNA is filed under the name uncultured bacterium. RNAcentral describes it as "partial 16S ribosomal RNA". It matches the Rfam family "Bacterial small subunit ribosomal RNA", at positions 532 to 776 of the family's 1533-position model. The record is from RNAcentral.
GGGCAAGCGUUGUUCGGAAUUACUGGGCGUAAAGGGCUCGUAGGCGGCCAACUAAGUCAGACGUGAAAUCCCCAGGCUCAACCUGGGAACUGCGUCUGAUACUGGAUGGCUUGAAUCCGGGAGAGGGAUGCAGAAUUCCAGGUGUAGCGGUGAAAUGCGUAGAUAUCUGGAGGAAUACCGGUGGCGAAGGCGGCAUCCUGGACCGGCAUUGACGCUGAGGAGCGAAAGCCAGGGGAGCAAACGGG